GGUCUUCGGGGCAGGGUGAAAUUCCCGAUUGGCGGUAAAGUCCGCGAGCGCAGCACGCAGAAACCGGCGUACAGCGCAUGAUUUGGUGAAAUUCCAAAACCAACAGUAUAGUCUGGAUGAAAGAAGAC
Molecule: non-coding RNA, 128 nt
Filed under: chicken gut metagenome
Description: FMN riboswitch (RFN element)
Rfam family: FMN riboswitch aptamer (RFN element)
About the family: The RFN element is a highly conserved domain that is found frequently in the 5'-untranslated regions of prokaryotic mRNAs that encode for flavin mononucleotide (FMN) biosynthesis and transport proteins. This element is a metabolite-dependent riboswitch that directly binds FMN in the absence of proteins. In Bacillus subtilis, the riboswitch most likely controls gene expression by causing premature transcription termination within the 5' untranslated region of the ribDEAHT operon and precluding access to the ribosome-binding site of ypaA mRNA.
Source: RNAcentral